This 468-nucleotide ribosomal RNA is filed under the name uncultured bacterium. RNAcentral's name for it is "partial 16S ribosomal RNA". It matches the Rfam family "Bacterial small subunit ribosomal RNA", at positions 28 to 507 of the family's 1533-position model. The record is from RNAcentral.
GACGAACGCUGGCGGCGUGCUUAACACAUGCAAGUCGAACGGAAAGGCCCUGCUUUUGUGGGGUGCUCGAGUGGCGAACGGGUGAGUAACAAGUGAGUAACCUGCCCUUGACUUUGGGAUAACUUCAGGAAACUGGGGCUAAUACCGGAUAGGAGCUCCUGCUGCAUGGUGGGGGUUGGAAAGUUUCGGCGGUUGGGGAUGGACUCGCGGCUUAUCAGCUUGUUGGUGGGGUAGUGGCUUACCAAGGCUUUGACGGGUAGCCGGCCUGAGAGGGUGACCGGCCACAUUGGGACUGAGAUACGGCCCAGACUCCUACGGGAGGCAGCAGUGGGGAAUAUUGCACAAUGGGCGGAAGCCUGAUGCAGCAACGCCGCGUGCGGGAUGACGGCCUUCGGGUUGUAAACCGUUUUCGCCUGUGACGAAGCGUGAGUGACGGUAAUGGGUAAAGAAGCACCGGCUAACUACGUG